RNAcentral lists this long non-coding RNA (354 nucleotides) under Helianthus annuus (common sunflower). RNAcentral's name for it is "hypothetical non coding rna". Lineage: Eukaryota; Viridiplantae; Streptophyta; Magnoliopsida; Asterales; Asteraceae. The record is from RNAcentral.
GAAUCAGAUCUAAAAGCUCUAAGUUGAAGUAUUGCUUCAUACCUGAGUUUCUCUGAUCUAGAUUAGCAUUCGGGGACCCUCCGUAAGUGCCGUUUGAUAUCCCGUGAUCUUUAGCAUUAUCUGGUUAUUAUACAAGAACUUCAAAGCAAUCUCAGCAUAUGGACACAUUGAUUUACAUGAACAUUUCUGCUGCAUAUGAGAUGAUGCAUAGGACUUAUCAAGACAUACUUAGGCGGACCUGUGCCUUAGUGACUUAAAACGAGACAAGAACUAGUUAAUUUAUGUUAUGUAUUCUUUGGUUCUCGUUUAAGACAAUGUAAACUUUCAUGUUUGAUUAAUAAAACGAAGCUUCGU